RNAcentral lists this ribosomal RNA (464 nucleotides) under uncultured Desulfobulbus sp. RNAcentral describes it as "bacterial SSU rRNA". It matches the Rfam family "Bacterial small subunit ribosomal RNA", at positions 924 to 1382 of the family's 1533-position model. The record is from RNAcentral. Lineage: Bacteria; Pseudomonadati; Thermodesulfobacteriota; Desulfobulbia; Desulfobulbales; Desulfobulbaceae.
CACAAGCGGUGGAGUAUGUGGUUUAAUUCGAUGCAACGCGAAGAACCUUACCUGGUCUUGACAUCCCGGAGACCCUUAGGAAACUAGGGGGUGCUUCCAUCUGGAGGAAUCUGGAGACAGGUGCUGCAUGGCUGUCGUCAGCUCGUGUCGUGAGAUGUUGGGUUAAGUCCCGCAACGAGCGCAACCCUUGCCUUUAGUUGCCAGCAGUUCGGCUGGGCACUCUAAAGGGACUGCCGGUGUUAAACCGGAGGAAGGUGGGGAUGACGUCAAGUCCUCAUGGCCUUUAUGACCAGGGCUACACACGUACUACAAUGGCCGAUACAAAGGGCAGCGACACUGCGAGGUGAAGCCAAUCCCGUAAAAUCGGUCUCAGUCCGGAUUGGAGUCUGCAACUCGACUCCAUGAAGUUGGAAUCGCUAGUAAUCGUGGAUCAGCAUGCCACGGUGAAUACGUUCCCGGGCCUU